GCGUCGGGGUUAGUACCUGCGCUUCGAGCGGAUCUUCUUCUAUACUUGCUUUUGAAGAUCAGCGGCGGACGGGUGAGUAACACGUGGGCAACCUGCCUGUAAGACUGGGAUAACUUCGGGAAACCGGAGCUAAUACCGGAUAAUCCUUUUCCUCUCAUGAGGAAAAGCUGAAAGACGGUUUCUCCCGGUCCUUUACAAAGGGGCCCGGGGGCCAUUACUUAUUUGGGGAGGAAAGGGUUCCCCAAGGCAACAAUGCUUACCCAACCUGAAAGGGGGAUCGGCCCCUCGGGAAUGGAAACCCGGCCCAAACUCCUACGGAAGGCACCAUUAGGGAAUCUUCCGCAAUGGACGAAGGUCUGACGAACCACCCCCCCGGGAGCAAUGAAGGCCUUCGGGUCGUAAAGCUCUGUUGCCAGGAAAAAACAAUUUUCGAAUUACCGGCCGGUCCUUUGACGGUCCUGGACCAAAAGGCCCCGGUUAACUCCUGGCCACCACCCGCGGUAUUACUUAGGGGGCAAGCGUGGUCCGGAUUAAUUGGGGGUAAAGCGCGCGCAGGCGGUUCUUUAAUUCUGAUGUGAAACCCCCCGGUUCACCCGGGAAGGGUCUUUGAAAACNGGGAAACUUGAUGGCAAAAAAGAAGAGCGGAAUUCCCCGUGUACCGGUGAAUUGCGUAGAGAUGUGGAGGACCCCCAGUGGCAAAGGCGGUUCUCUGNCUUGUAACUGACGCUAAGGCGCGAAAGCGUGGGRAGCGAACAGGAUUAAAUACCCUGGUAGUCCACGCCGUAAACGAUGAGUGCUAAGUGUUAGAGAGGUUUCGCCCUUUAAUGCUGCAGCAAACGCAUUAACCACUCCGCCUGGGGAGUACGGCCGCAAGGCUUGAACUCAAGGGAAUUGACGGGCGCCCGCGCCAGCGUUGGAGCAUGUGGUUUGAUAUCGAGCACCGAGAAGAACUACAGUUGAUCCUGAAAUCCCUAAAAGCUCCUCGGAAUGCGGCGUUCCCCUUCGGGGGACAGAGUGACAGGUGGUGCAUGGUUGUCGUCAGCUCGUGUCGUGAGAUGUUGGGUUAAGUCCCGCAACGAGCGCAACCCUUGAUCUUAGUUGCCAGCAUUCAGUUGGGCACUCUAAGGUGACUGCCGGUGACAAACCGGAGGAAGGUGGGGAUGACGUCAAAUCAUCAUGCCCCUUAUGACCUGGGCUACACACGUGCUACAAUGGAUGGAACAAAGGGCAGCGAAGCCGCGAGGUGAAGCCAAUCCCAUAAAACCAUUCUCAGUUCGGAUUGCAGGCUGCAACUCGCCUGCAUGAAGCCGGAAUCGCUAGUAAUCGCGGAUCAGCAUGCCGCGGUGAAUACGUUCCCGGGCCUUGUACACACCGCCCGUCACACCACGAGAGUUUGUAACACCCGAAGUCGGUGGGGUAACC
This is a ribosomal RNA of 1422 nucleotides. It matches the Rfam family "Bacterial small subunit ribosomal RNA".